This is a long non-coding RNA of Mustela erminea (ermine), 399 nucleotides long. RefSeq lists it as uncharacterized. The transcript has 2 exons. The record is from RefSeq and is a predicted model, not a curated record. NCBI's taxonomy places the organism in Eukaryota, Metazoa, Chordata, Mammalia, Carnivora, Mustelidae.
CGCUUCCUCGGCCUCUUGAAUUACGCCUGCGCUGAGGCUUUCCCAGUCGGUCUCCUAGGACGCCAGACUGAGGCCGCGCCUGCGCAAUGGUGCCGAUGAAGUGAAGAGGAGCUUUGUCUGUAUUCUCACAAGUAUCUCCAGAGCCUAGAAUAGGACUUAGAAUAAGACCUAGCACAGGGCACGUUUUCAGUAAGUAUUUGUGAAAGAACCAAUGAUCUAUCCUCUUUCCUGUCCAAAUCUCUGCUCUGCUGCGCUUGGAUGUGCAAUAGACAUUUCCAGAUUAUUAUGUCCAAAACUGAAGGGUUGUUUCCCCCCCGCCCCUGCCCACACACACUAUAUUACUCACUAUAUUACUGUCUAUCCCUGCCCCACCUCCCCCAUGUAAAAAAAAAAAAAAAA